RNAcentral lists this transfer RNA (73 nucleotides) under Hofstenia miamia. Its description in RNAcentral is "tRNA-Val for anticodon AAC". Lineage: Eukaryota; Metazoa; Xenacoelomorpha; Acoela; Hofsteniidae. The record is from RNAcentral.
GGCACCAUUGUGUAGUGGUUAUCACAUGUGCCUAACACGAAGAAGGUCCCCAGUUCGAGCCUAGGUGGUGUCA